Molecule: long non-coding RNA, 352 nt
Organism: Phyllopteryx taeniolatus (common seadragon)
Lineage: Eukaryota; Metazoa; Chordata; Actinopteri; Syngnathiformes; Syngnathidae
Exons: 3
Source: RefSeq, a predicted model, not a curated record
GCUCUGUGUCUUUCUCCUCGGUCCUCCUCCGUCCUGCACUGCGCGAGGAGCGGCGAAGAGGUUGCAAGGUGACUGCUGCUGCACUUGCAAUGUGCGCACGAGUGACAAUAAUAAAGGCUGUGAGGUCCAAAGGCGGCGAGACAAAAGGAGGACGUGAACCUUUGAGACGGACGGUCAUUAUUGGCCCCCCCAGUACCCUGUCGCUUCACAUGUGUCUGCGUUGCAGAACAGAUAUAAAUUUUUUAGUUAAAUCCUUCCUCUUGGAGCCGUCUUUGACUGGCCCUGCUUGUUUGAUUGCAUGUCAAUGUUUGAUGGCUGAAUAUGUCUGCGUGUGACUACAAUGUUGGAGGCU